This is a long non-coding RNA of Catharus ustulatus (Swainson's thrush), 706 nucleotides long. RefSeq lists it as uncharacterized. The transcript is spliced from 4 exons. The record is from RefSeq and is a predicted model, not a curated record. NCBI's taxonomy places the organism in Eukaryota, Metazoa, Chordata, Aves, Passeriformes, Turdidae.
UGGGUGUAUAACAAGGGUAUAAAACCAGCUCCUAUCUCUCAAUAAAUUUCUCAGUAUCCCUGCGGUUCUGAGUCCCUGCCUCCUUCGUUCACAUGCCAGAGGAGCAGCCAGGUAGCCGUGGGCCAGGCAGGAGACUGGGCUGUGUCUCAGGGAUAUUUCUCGUAAGGGGAGAGGACUGGGAAUCUCCAGAGUGGGAGAGGGAAGGCUGGGGGUGAUCAAGCAGGGUAACAAAGCCCUACUGACCCCCCCUGCCUGCCUUGUUCUUGCUUCCCAAGGGACCAGGCCUAGAGCAGACUCAUCUCAGCUCUUGCUCUCACCCAGCCCACCAUGUUUUCCUUCUUGGCGUUUAUUCCAGCUGUCAUUGCAUUCCUUGUGGGAGUUGCUGUAGGAGCUGCAAUUGUAGCAGCAGCAAAGAGUCAGAAUGUGUUCUUCACUGUGAAUCGCUGUGGUCUGAUUUUCCGUGUGGGCGGGGAAGAAAAUGCCUGCGCUCCAACCAGCAGCCCUUGGGAUGCUGGCCAGAAGAAGGAAUGGUGACCCCUGCCAGUGAACAGAAGCACAUUUCCUUCCUUCCAACCAGCCUGAUUCGUGUCUUUAGAUUGCAGGACCAGGAAAACACCCUCUGACUCCCUGUUGUCCCUUACAAAACACUUGCAUUGCCUUAAGGAGUAAAUGCUUUGAAAAAUUUAAUAAAAAUGCAUGUCUGGUG